GACGAAGGAUGCAAGCGUUAUCCGGAUUCAUUGGGUUAAAGGGUGCGUAGGCGGACUGAUAAGUCAGUGGUGAAAUCUCUUUGCUUAACAAAGAAACUGCCAUUGAUACUGUCGGUCUUAGAGUAUAGAUGACGUUUGGCGGAAUAUGACAUGUAGUGGUGAAAUACUUAGAUAUGUCAUAGAACACCGAUUGCGAAGGCAGCUAACGAAACUAUAACUGACGCUGAGGCACGAAAAGCGUGGGGGAUCAAACAGG
RNAcentral lists this ribosomal RNA (256 nucleotides) under uncultured bacterium. RNAcentral's name for it is "partial 16S ribosomal RNA". It matches the Rfam family "Bacterial small subunit ribosomal RNA", at positions 524 to 776 of the family's 1533-position model. The record is from RNAcentral.